This 345-nucleotide unclassified non-coding RNA is filed under the name Hevea brasiliensis (rubber tree). Lineage: Eukaryota; Viridiplantae; Streptophyta; Magnoliopsida; Malpighiales; Euphorbiaceae. The record is from RNAcentral.
CGACAUCUCAAUUCCUUAGCAUACCGUCUCCAAAUGAAUGGAGCGGUAGAAGCCACUAACAAAAAUCUCAAGAGAAUCCUCCAGAAAAUGAUAAUCACCUAUAGAGAUUGGCAUGAAAUGCUUCCCUACGCCCUACAUGCAUACCGGACCUCCAUAAGGACAUCAACUGGGGCAACUCUAUAUUCACUGGUUUAUGGAAUGGAAGCUGUUUUGCUUAUCGAGGUAGAAAUUCCUUCCCUAAGAAUUCUGAAAGAAUCAAGAAUUGAUGAGUCAAAAUGGAUCCAGCUGAGAUUGGACCAAUUGAAUUUGCUGGAUGAGAAAAGGCUAGCAGCAGCAUGUCAUGGG